This 1089-nucleotide ribosomal RNA is filed under the name Microbacterium testaceum. RNAcentral's name for it is "bacterial SSU rRNA". It matches the Rfam family "Bacterial small subunit ribosomal RNA", at positions 337 to 1438 of the family's 1533-position model. The record is from RNAcentral. Lineage: Bacteria; Bacillati; Actinomycetota; Actinomycetes; Micrococcales; Microbacteriaceae.
UCCUACGGGAGGCAGCAGUGGGGAAUAUUGCACAAUGGGCGAAAGCCUGAUGCAGCAACGCCGCGUGAGGAUGACGGCCUUCGGGUUGUAAACCCUUUUAGCAGGGAAGAAGCGAAAGUGACGGUACCUGCAGAAAAAGCGCCGGCUAACUACGUGCCAGCAGCCGCGGUAAUACCUAAGGCGCAAGCGUUAUCCGGAAUUAUUGGGCGUAAAGAGCUCGUAAGCGGUUUGUCCCGUCUGCUGUGAAAUCCCGAGGCUCAACCUCCGGCCUGCAGUGGGUACCGGCAGACUAAAGUGCGGUAGGGGAGAUUGGAAUUCCUGGUGUAACGGUGGAAUGCGCAAAUAUCAGGAGGAACACCGAUGGCGAAAGCAGAUCUCUGGGCCGUAACUGACGCUGAAGAACGAAAGGGUGGGGAGCAAACAGGCUUAGAUACCCUGGUAGUCCACCCCGUAAACGUUGGGAACUAAUUGUGGGGACCAUUCCACGGUUUCCGUGACGCAACUAACGCAUUAAGUUCCCCGCCUGGGGAAUACCGCCGCAAGGCUAAAACUCAAAGGAAUUGACGGGGACCCGCACAAGCGGCGGAGCAUGCGGAUUAAUUCGAUGCAACGCGAAGAACCUUACCAAGGCUUGACAUAUACGAGAACGGGCCAGAAAUGGUCAACUCUUUGGACACUCGUAAACAGGUGGUGCAUGGUUGUCGUCAGCUCGUGUCGUGAGAUGUUGGGUUAAGUCCCGCAACGAGCGCAACCCUCGUUCUAUGUUGCCAGCACGUAAUGGUGGGAACUCAUGGGAUACUGCCGGGGUCAACUCGGAGGAAGGUGGGGAUGACGUCAAAUCAUCAUGCCCCUUAUGUCUUGGGCUUCACGCAUGCUACAAUGGCCGGUACAAAGGGCUGCAAUACCGUGAGGUGGAGCGAAUCCCAAAAAGCCGGUCCCAGUUCGGAUUGAGGUCUGCAACUCGACCUCAUGAAGUCGGAGUCGCUAGUAAUCGCAGAUCAGCAACGCUGCGGUGAAUACGUUCCCGGGUCUUGUACACACCGCCCGUCAAGUCAUGAAAGUCGGUAACACCUGAAGCCGGUGGCCCAA